UAAUACGUAGGUGGCAAGCGUUGUCCGGAUUUAUUGGGUUUAAAGGGUGCGUAGGCGGCCAUUUAAGUCAGUGCUGAAAUACUCUAGCUUAACUAGAGGGGUGGCAUUGAUACUGAACGGCUUGAGUGAAGUCGAGGUAGGCGGAAUUGACGGUGUAGCGGUGAAAUGCUUAGAUAUCGUCAAGAACACCGAUAGUGAAGACAGCUUACUAGACUUCAACUGACGCUGAGGCACGAAAGUGUGGGGAUCAAACAGGAUUAGAUACCCUGGUAGUCCACACUGUAAACGUUGAUUACUCGAUGUGUGCGAUAUACAGUACGCGUCUUAGCGCAAGCGAUAAGUAAUCCACCUGGGGAGUACGCCGGCAACGGUG
Molecule: ribosomal RNA, 373 nt
Filed under: uncultured bacterium
Lineage: Bacteria
Description: bacterial SSU rRNA
Rfam family: Bacterial small subunit ribosomal RNA
Source: RNAcentral